Long non-coding RNA from Limanda limanda (common dab), 190 nucleotides. RefSeq lists it as uncharacterized. The record is from RefSeq and is a predicted model, not a curated record. NCBI's taxonomy places the organism in Eukaryota, Metazoa, Chordata, Actinopteri, Pleuronectiformes, Pleuronectidae. The transcript is spliced from 3 exons.
AAAACAAAACAAAAAAGGGAACUGUUGGCCGGAAACUCAGUGAGCUGAUGCAGCACAUGAGCUGGAUGACACCAGACGUGACAGUACUUCGCUCUGUUGUCCUCAAAGGCAUUCCAAUUUUACUUGGUGACGCCUCCAGUGAAUUCUUCAAGACAUGCUCUGAUACAGCAAGAGACGAGGCCCUAGAAUG